RNAcentral lists this ribosomal RNA (542 nucleotides) under Aspergillus cf. tamarii ATCC 64841. RNAcentral's name for it is "eukaryotic LSU rRNA". It matches the Rfam family "Eukaryotic large subunit ribosomal RNA", at positions 74 to 631 of the family's 3401-position model. Lineage: Eukaryota; Fungi; Ascomycota; Eurotiomycetes; Eurotiales; Aspergillaceae. The record is from RNAcentral.
AUUGCCUCAGUAACGGCGAGUGAAGCGGCAAGAGCUCAAAUUUGAAAGCUGGCUCCUUCGGGGUCCGCAUUGUAAUUUGCAGAGGAUGCUUCGGGUGCGGCCCCUGUCUAAGUGCCCUGGAACGGGCCGUCAGAGAGGGUGAGAAUCCCGUCUGGGAUGGGGUGUCCGCGCCCGUGUGAAGCUCCUUCGACGAGUCGAGUUGUUUGGGAAUGCAGCUCUAAAUGGGUGGUAAAUUUCAUCUAAAGCUAAAUACUGGCCGGAGACCGAUAGCGCACAAGUAGAGUGAUCGAAAGAUGAAAAGCACUUUGAAAAGAGAGUUAAAAAGCACGUGAAAUUGUUGAAAGGGAAGCGCUUGCGACCAGACUCGCCUCCAGGGUUCAGCCGGCAUUCGUGCCGGUGUACUUCCCUGGGGGCGGGCCAGCGUCGGUUUGGGCGGCCGGUCAAAGGCUCCCGGAAUGUAGUGCCCUUCGGGGCACCUUAUAGCCGGGAGUGCAAUGCGGCCAGCCUGGACCGAGGAACGCGCUUCGGCACGGACGCUGGCA